RNAcentral lists this long non-coding RNA (250 nucleotides) under Rattus norvegicus (Norway rat). RNAcentral describes it as "long non-coding RNA NONRATT023038". Lineage: Eukaryota; Metazoa; Chordata; Mammalia; Rodentia; Muridae. The record is from RNAcentral.
GGCAUCCAGGAGCUGAGCACUGUCGCCCCAGCCUUAGUCCCAAGCCACACUCCUUCGCUCCAUCCACCCUGCAGCCGGACAGAACAAAUCACAAGGCUCAUCAUGAAGCUUUGGAGAGAGAAGUUCUAACACUGAACGGCACAACACAGUUCUUACAUGGUGACCACAUAUCUAAACCUACAAGAACCAGGACGGAAAGAUGCAGUGCAAUAAAAUCACAGAUCUCUAGUCUCUUGAGACCUAAGACAAA